GAGGACUUAGGAUAUAUUUUAGACCAAGAGCCUUCAAAGCUCUCAGCAGAAGUGAGAACCUUCUAGCCCUCG
This 72-nucleotide transfer RNA is filed under the name Elopichthys bambusa (yellowcheek carp). Its description in RNAcentral is "tRNA-Trp". It matches the Rfam family "tRNA". Rfam says of the family: Transfer RNA (tRNA) molecules are approximately 80 nucleotides in length. Their secondary structure includes four short double-helical elements and three loops (D, anti-codon, and T loops). Lineage: Eukaryota; Metazoa; Chordata; Actinopteri; Cypriniformes; Xenocyprididae. The record is from RNAcentral.